RNAcentral lists this ribosomal RNA (1005 nucleotides) under uncultured Verrucomicrobiota bacterium. Its description in RNAcentral is "bacterial SSU rRNA". It matches the Rfam family "Bacterial small subunit ribosomal RNA", at positions 508 to 1504 of the family's 1533-position model. The record is from RNAcentral. Lineage: Bacteria; Pseudomonadati; Verrucomicrobiota.
CCAGCCGCCGCGGUAAUACAGAGGUCUCAAGCGUUGUUCGGAUUUAUUGGGCGUAAAGGGUGCGUAGGCGGCGGGGCAAGUGAGGUGUGAAAUCCCGGAGCUCAACUCCGGAACUGCACUUUAUACUACUCUGCUAGAGUCUUGGAGAGGAGACUGGAAUUUACGGUGUAGCAGUGAAAUGCGUAGAUAUCGUAAGGAAGACCAGUGGCGAAGGCGAGUCUCUGGACAAAGACUGACGCUGAGGCACGAAGGCCAGGGGAGCAAACGGGAUUAGAUACCCCGGUAGUCCUGGCAGUAAACGGUGCGCGUUUGGUAUGGGGGGAUUCGACCCCUUCCGUGCCGAAGCUAACGCGUUAAACGCGCCGCCUGGGGAGUACGAUCGCAAGAUUAAAACUCAAAGAAAUUGACGGGGGCCCGCACAAGCGGUGGAGUAUGUGGCUUAAUUCGAUGCAACGCGAAGAACCUUACCUGGGCUUGACAUGCAUCGCUAAGUCGGUGAAAGCCGGCGACUCCCGCAAGGGAGACUUUGCACAGGUGCUGCAUGGCUGUCGUCAGCUCGUGUCGUGAGAUGUUGGGUUAAGUCCCGCAACGAGCGCAACCCUCGUGGCCUGUUGCUUCUGCUCCGCAAGGAGCAAGCACUUUGGUCAGACUGCCCUGUGAAACGGGGAGGAAGGUGGGGAUGACGUCAAGUCAGCAUGGCCCUUACGUCCAGGGCUGCACACGUACUACAAUGCCCAGCACAGAACGAGCCGAAGCCGCGAGGCGGAGGAAAUCACCAAAACUGGGCACAGUUCGGAUCGCAGGCUGCAACUCGCCUGCGUGAAGCUGGAAUCGCUAGUAAUGCCGUAUCAGCUACGACGGCGUGAAUACGUUCCCGGGCCUUGUACACACCGCCCGUCACAUCAUGGAAGUCGAUCCUACCCGAAGCACGUGAGCCAACCGCAAGGCGGCAGCGUUCGAAGGUAGGGCCGGUAACUGGGAUGAAGUCGUAACAAGGUAACCAAG